Molecule: long non-coding RNA, 1133 nt
Filed under: Salvator merianae (Argentine black and white tegu)
Lineage: Eukaryota; Metazoa; Chordata; Lepidosauria; Squamata; Teiidae
Description: lncRNA (ENSSMRG00000022874.1)
Source: RNAcentral
AAAAUAUAUGUACUGCUUAGCAGUUUCACUUAAGUAUGCACAUUGGUUUGUUUCCUUUUUUCCUGGGUAAAAUUUUUUAAAAUCUCUAGGAAAGAGCAAAGAAUUGCUCUAGAGCUGUUUUGGCUUAUUGUGAUGCUGACAUAAAACAAGAGAUUCAGCUUGGUUCAUCGUAAACAGUCUGUUCAUGACUGUACCCUUGUAUGCAAUGGUAUGAGUGUUUUUUUAAUUGUUUCUGACUUUUACUUUUGGAAGGGAUGCUGAUCUAUACUGCAACUGUUUCUGCCAGAUAAAUCUUUUUGCAACUUUCUCUCUUAAGAACAGUGUGUGUCUUGUGUGUGUGUGUGUGUGUGUGUGUGUGUGCGUAUACACGAGGGAACGUACUUGCUCUUGACUCAACUCUGAUAUACACCGCUGUCUGUUUUACUCUGCUUGCCUGUAAGCAUUUAACAGUGGAGGGAAUCGCAUCUCGCCAUUUCCCCCGCCAUCCCUCACAGCCUCUAGGAACAGCUGUAGGGUUUCUCUCUAGAGUAUCAGAGGCUCCCGACCAAUGAAGCCGGUGGCUCAAGAAAGCCGAGAUCAGUCACGCUCUCUCCACCAGCAGCCCUUGGAGGGCGAGUAAGCCAGUUUCGGGCCACGGUCCAAAGCGAGUGUGUCAUGGAUGGGAGAGAGUUCCUCGCUUCCCUUCGAAAAAGUCUGGCUUGAACUGAGUCAACAUUUAGCCUCUAGCAGCUGCGGCGCACGGGAUCUGGUGGAGACCGCGGGGGAAGGCGGAUAAGCCUGGAAAGGAAACCUCCCCUUCGACCCACAGCACCUUCGAGCCGUUGCAGCGCUGCUCGUCGGGCUCGAAGCCUCCGGCAGAGCUCUCUUUCAAGCUGCCAAGAGCGGAAGCGUGGGGCUGGCCUGGCGGGCGGUGGGCGGAAAGAGAGCGUCACCCGUCGCGCUGGGUCUUACGCGUGCUUGUUGGCUGACGGUGGAGGAAGAAAGGACUCUCAGGCAGAGAAUCCAAGUGGCCUAUGGAUGCUGUGCUGUUGGCUAUNGAAGCUGAAAAACCCAAGAUAACCCCAUUACAGAAUCAGGCGGAGAGACAAAAGGGUCUUGGAAAGGAAUAAAGCUUCUUACUGGGAAGUCGGGCA